UACGAAGGGUGCAAGCGUUACUCGGAAUUACUGGGCGUAAAGCGUGCGUAGGUGGUUUGUUAAGUCUGUUGUGAAAGCCCCGGGCUCAACCUGGGAAUGGCAAUGGAUACUGGCAAGCUAGAGUGCGGUAGAGGGUAGUGGAAUUCCCGGUGUAGCGGUGAAAUGCGUAGAGAUCGGGAGGAACACCAGUGGCGAAGGCGGCUACCUGGACCAGCACUGACACUGGAGGCACGAAAGCGUGGGGAGCAAACAGG
RNAcentral lists this ribosomal RNA (254 nucleotides) under uncultured bacterium. RNAcentral's name for it is "partial 16S ribosomal RNA". It matches the Rfam family "Bacterial small subunit ribosomal RNA", at positions 524 to 776 of the family's 1533-position model. The record is from RNAcentral.